UUUGUUAUGGAAAAUUUCCUAACCCUAACAUUGACCCAUUUGAAAAAGAUUUAAACUCCAUCGUUAUCUUCAUCAUAAUCUUUUCUUGUAUCUUCGUUCAGCCUAGAUUUCCAAAAUCGUUAUAUGUUCUCCAUUCUUUUCCCUAAUUGAUACUUUCUCAAGGACGGUGUUGAAACGCCACUUGGUACAAUAGCUGCCAUGGAGUCGAGCGCCCUCUCCACUACGCUUCAAGAUAUCAAUGGAAGCAACCUUAGCAGACAGAGGAAGACUAAACGCAAAGAGAUUGUAGAAAAGAGGAAAGCAAUCAAUGAGUUGAUUAAAGCAGCUUCUGUUGAGAAUGACCAUCUUGCUUCCUUCCCAGCCUUUCGCCAAUUCGAUCGAACUGGUUUCUCAGUUUACUUAGAAUCAGGGAGUGGAGAUAAACUCUCAUCUUCGUUGAAGCGAGAGCUACAAAAGCUUGUUAAGGAUAAUAUGGAGAGGCAUUAUGGGCAUGAGUGGGCUACUGAAGAGAAAGUGAAGCGAAGAGAAAUGGUUACUCCUGAAGCACGUUAUAUAUUCGUGUAUGAGGCUGCGAAUAAUAAUCGUAAGUUUAUAGAGAAUGAGAUGAUUUUGGUUGGAUUUGUGCAUUAUCGGUUUACUCUGGAGGAAGAGUUCCCUGUUCUUUAUGUAUAUGAAAUUCAGCUUCAAUCUCGUGUCCAAGGCAAGGGAUUGGGCAAAUUCCUAAUGCAACUAAUUGAAUGUAUUGCUCGUAAGAGUUGCAUGAGUGCCGUGGUCUUAACAGUCCAGAAAGCAAAUGAGGCAGCUAUGGACUUCUAUAAAACUAAGCUUAGAUACAAUAUAUCAAGCAUUUCGCCUUCAAUGAUGGGAGUUGAUAAGAAUUAUGAAAUUCUUUGCAAAGCAUUUGAUAGUGAAGCUGAAGCCAUAUUGCAGAAACACUUAAAAGAAUAGAAUUUUACUUAACUGGCGACCCUUAGAGAUGCAAAGUGACAACAACAAAAAAUUUUUUGCUUGAUUCAAAAUUUUCUCACGGAUUCAUCUUCUAGGUUUCUUCUUUUUAGUCAGGUGAGCUUCAAAUUCAUUUCCUUUUGUUAUGGGUAUCCAUUAGUUUUUCUUUUAACCAAUUCAGUGGUUCUUCUUUUCCCAUUUUUUAAACUGGGGUUUCCUGUUUUUUAGGAUUUUUCUUUUUGUGUAUUUAUAUAUAUUCAUUAUCAAUUGCUUGUUACUAGUAAUCAAGGUCUUUUUCUUUUUCUUUUCUUUUUGGUCAAUGCUGGAGAAAAGAUCUGAGGCUUUGAACAAAUAUGUUCUAUUGUGCUGACAGUAGUGGAGGAAAGGUCUGAGGUGUAUCAAGAUGGUAGCAUCACCAUGGCAGCAUGGCAGUUGCAGACAUACACUCGUAUGCCAGCUGAUAUGGUGCCGCUUUCUUGGGAUACUACUGAUGGCUUCUAGCUUGGUUCCUUCACAUAUUCAUCAUGACAGCUACUGGGCUCCCUAGGAGAAUGCAGAUCCCAUCGACUUGUUGCAAGAACUUGAGACCCAUAUCUCUUUUGUGAUCCGGGUUUUCUUCUUUACCUUUUUGUUCCUGCAUUGUUUUAUUAUUAUUUCUUCAAAAACCAAGCAAGUAACAUAUCCUUUCCUUUUUAUUUGCGGGAAAAGUACAGAAACGUACCUCAUGCCCUUUUUACACUUAAAAGAUUGAGUUUUUUUUUUCGUGAUAAAGAAAUAUUAAUAUUCUAUAAUUUAAUUUUUUUUUAUACAUUUUUACUACAUUACAAAUUUGAUAUCUUUAGAUUUCUAUAAUUUGAUAUUAAUAUAAUAUUCAUUUUCAAUAAUAAGAUUAUUUUAUAGAUGAUUUACCACCAAAUCAACUAUCAUAAUACUACUAAAAGUACUAUAAUUUUAUUUUAGAAAUUAUUUAUGUUUAUUCUUAGUAAUAUUAAAAAUAUAUAUUAAUUUUAUUUAAUAUGAAUUCAAUGUAGUUAGUUAUAUGCUAAUUUACUCAAUAAGUGAUUUUUUUAUUGAAAAUGAAUAUUAUAUUAAAUAUUAAAUCAUAAAAAUCUAAAGAUAUUGGUUUGUAAUGUAAUAAAAAUGUAAAGAAAUUAAAUUAUUGGGUACUCUUUUGUCACGAAAAAAAUCAGUCCUUUAAGUGUAAACUCGUUAAACUAUGCCCUUCACUGCAUGGAAAGUCGGAAACACCUGGAGUUUAUGCACCACUAUUCGGCUGCGCAUGAUGGCGUUGAUCAUCCCCAUUGGGUUGCAUCAUCUAGCUAACAUUCUCAAGGAGCAGUCUAGUAAUAUCCGCUCGAUGGAGGACUUUGCAGAGAGAUAGUGGGACAUCAUUAAUACUUCCCUUUUUUCUUGCAGGGAGAUGACUAUCAAGAAUUUGGAAUACUUUCUUUUUUUCUUACAGGGAGAUGGCUAUCAAGAAUUUGGAAACCCGAGAUCUGUUUGAAUUCAAAUUUUAAUAUAAAUUUUAAAGAUUUAAAUUUGAAACGUUUUGAAAUCAAAACUGCGGGUUGAACUCGGAAUAAUUCAAAUGUGAGAUGAUCCGAGUGAUCCAAGAUUAGACCAA
RNA transcript from Ricinus communis (castor bean), 2569 nucleotides. It is a transcript of the gene named N-alpha-acetyltransferase 40, with no coding region annotated. Lineage: Eukaryota; Viridiplantae; Streptophyta; Magnoliopsida; Malpighiales; Euphorbiaceae. The transcript has 9 exons. The record is from RefSeq and is a predicted model, not a curated record.